Non-coding RNA from Maylandia zebra (zebra mbuna), 1162 nucleotides. Lineage: Eukaryota; Metazoa; Chordata; Actinopteri; Cichliformes; Cichlidae. The record is from RefSeq and is a predicted model, not a curated record.
CAGCCUUUCACAGGGCUGUCGUGGGGAAGUGAGGAUAGAUGACGUUCCAGUGUGUGCUAGUAACUGGGAUCUAUCCUAUGCACACAAAGUUUGCCAAGAAAACCUUUGUGGCAAUGCUGUCUUCAUUGAAUCCAAAGCUCCAUCAAAGGGUUCAGGUAACAUUUACCAUGUCAGCUGUGAAAAGUACCAUUCCAUCAUUGGCCAGUGCAGGAGGACUAAAGGAAAGUGUGACAAAAAUGUGGUGUUCAUUACUUGUAGUGAAAGUGUAAAGUUCCGCACGACUGAAAAACAUGGAGGUGUCCUUUAUGUCAAUUAUCGAGAUAAGUGGGAAAGAGUAUGUCCAUUUAAUCAUUCCCAAAACUUAAAGCUCUGUGAAGAGAUUGAUAAAGAGACCCCUAGCACCUCUACGGAAAUCAAACAGGUCAACUUAGAAACAACACUGGAGUUCACUGAUGUUACCAUGGAUGUCAGGCGCUCUGUCAAAAGAAGUUCCUGUGAAAGCACUAAUCAAGUUAAAAUAUAUUGUCCCGACUAUGAAACACUGACUACCGCAACACCAACCCCACCACGUCCGCCUAUACCCACAGGACCUAUUAUCGUGGGUGUGAUAUUUCUUCUUGUUGUAGUGAUCUUGAUUUCUUCAUUUAUACGAAUGUAUGUCAGGAGAGUCAGGGAGUCCAGAGCUUUAGCAAGAAUGCUGCCAGGGAAAGACAUGGAGUUUGAAAGUGGAGAUUAUGAGGACGUCAUGGACAAAGACAAUGAGAUGGAAGACUUCAGUCGUGGCAGAUUCAGAUCUGAGACUGAAUUUGUCUCAGAAAAUGAUGGGCGGAGUGUUUCCUCUUUACCUUAUGAUGAUAUUGAUGAAGCAGAUGAGGCUCGACCCCUGACCUUUCCGGCCACUACUGCUCCUGCUGCCCAAGACAUCAACGUUCAUGAAGACGGGGUAACCUACGAAGUGGAAGAUCCACAGGAGAGUUAUGAUGACAUUGAUACAAUCCCUGAAACUGCACAGACUACAGCAGAGAUCCACGACAGCCCUGAAACACCACAUGACUUAAACACAGCAGCCCCAGGAUUGGUGAAGAGGGAUGAGGACUACCUAGAGCCAGAUCAAGACAAACUGUGAUGCCAUUUCCACUACAGUUAGAGAGAAAGAGAAAAG